UCCGUAGGUGAACCUGCGGAGGGAUCAUUGCUGGAACACGCCUCGCGGCGUACCCAGAAACCCUUUUGUGAACUUAUACCUUUUAUCGUUGCCUCGGCACGGCCCGGGGGGCGCUUCAGCCCCUCCCAGCCUCGCGGCUGGAGAAGGCCUGCCGGUGGCCCAAUAAACUCUUGUUUUCUGAACGUAUCUCUUCUGAGUAACAAACAAAAAAAAAUGAAUCAAAACUUUCAACAACGGAUCUCUUGGUUCUGGCAUCGAUGAAGAACGCAGCGAAAUGCGAUAAGUAAUGUGAAUUGCAGAAUUCAGUGAAUCAUCGAAUCUUUGAACGCACAUUGCGCCCGCUGGUAUUCCAGCGGGCAUGCCUGUUCGAGCGUCAUUUCAACCCUCAAGCUCCCGUGCUUGGUGUUGGGGCACAGCCUUGUCAAAGAGGCUGGCCCUCAAAUUUAGUGGCGAGCUCGCUAAGACUCCGAGCGUAGUAAUUACUUCUCGCUUAGGUUGACUUAGCGGCCCUCUGCCGUAAAACCCCCUAAAUUUUUCUGAAAGUUGACCUCGGAUCAGGUAGGAAUACCCGCUGAACUUAAGCAUAUCAAUAAGCGGAGGA
RNAcentral lists this ribosomal RNA (601 nucleotides) under Greeneria uvicola. RNAcentral's name for it is "eukaryotic LSU rRNA". The stretch from base 223 to 376 matches the Rfam family "5.8S ribosomal RNA". The record is from RNAcentral. Lineage: Eukaryota; Fungi; Ascomycota; Sordariomycetes; Diaporthales; Melanconiellaceae.